Bactrocera neohumeralis is the source of this 1542-nucleotide long non-coding RNA. RefSeq lists it as uncharacterized. The record is from RefSeq and is a predicted model, not a curated record. The transcript is spliced from 5 exons. Lineage: Eukaryota; Metazoa; Arthropoda; Insecta; Diptera; Tephritidae.
UGGCGGUGUGCAAAGGACACACAGGCGGAAGAUUAUGUAAAUUUUUGUCGCCUCAAUGUCGUUGUCAUCCGCUCGUCGGCGUUGGCGUCGCGCUUUUUGCAUGUUUUCUUGGCGUUUUUUGAGGUUUUUCCUUUGACUACGCUCACGGUGCAUUGGCAUCUGCGGGCCAAGUGACCAUAAAUUAUGCGAGUGGCAGAACCGUCUGUAUGUUUGUAUGUAUGUAUGCGCGUGUGCGUGUUAUAAAAUAUUUGUUGCAUACUUUCUAGCGACAAAUGAGUUAUGAAAAUGUACAAAAAAUGCUUCAACUUGUAGAUAUGAAAAAAUAAUCGCCUGACCCUCCCUGCUCUGCCUCUUGCGGUUGGCUGUGUGUGUGUGUGUGUGCGUUGCCCACCUGUAGGCGGAAGUAAUUUAAAAAUAUCCGGUAACUGACAGCUUGUUGCGCGUCGUUCGCUCACCCUCGCCGCGUAAACCGGCCUUGGUAACGAGCAGCACUAGUACAACAACAACAACAACAACUGUGCCUAGCAGACCGCCAGUUUGCGCGCUUGAUUGGCAGCAGGCUAUUUGAGCGGUGUCAAAAAUGAAAGAAAUAAUUGCUUGGGUGUCAAUGCACACCAGGGAGUUUUUAAUUCGCUGCCUCCUCGGUGGCUGCGUCAUGUUUGUGUGUGUGUGCGUUAAGCAGCAUUUCUUCACGCUUUAAUGUAGUAGCAGAACAUGAAUGCCGGCGCAAAACACUUAAAUAUUCAGGCUUUCUCUACCCAAAAUGCCUGCCUCAAAUGACAGUGGCAGCAGCAUACGGACAAGUUUGUUACCGACAUCAUCACAGAAUUGAAAGCUAGGAGUUGGUGCCACACAUCAAUUAAACCACAAAUAUCUGGCCAUUGGUUUGUCGAGAGGUCACUGAACUUGGCGAGCAGCAAAUUUCUCACAUGGAACGCGUCGUGAAACCAGACUGUGGCGCCAGCUUUAAUGGUAAAUCAACUGGUAUUAAUACGAAUCACACUAUACCGACAGGCUGAAAACCCCCCAAAGAAAAAUGUUGGAUAAAAAGUGUAGCUCGAUUGCAGCGCGUAGGUGUGAGAGAGGAUGAUGCAUUCGGAGCGCAGAAAUCAACACGAAGACAUAACGAAUGUUAAAUAUUAACAGUUACAUAAUAAAGUAACGUCAAUACACUGAUUACUAGUUGAAUGUGGAGGAAAUUAGCGCUAACGUGAUUACUAUAAAAUACUUUCCACAGAAAUUAUUGAUUUUUUUUAGAUAAUUAUUAAUUUUUAGUCAAAUUAAUUUAAUCAAUUAAUUUUUAUAAAACUACUUAAGAUUAGUUAAUAUUAUAAAAGAAACAUCAAAAACUUCAAAUAUGUAAUUAUAUAAUUUAUUGACACAUUUAUCCCUUUCGUCCCGAGUGGUACACAUAUUUACCAGCGCAAUUUUAAAUACCCUUAAAGUCUUAAAUUGCUCUAAAAACGGUAUAAAAUUAUACCAGCCGGUAACUCUAAAUAUUUUUGAAAGUAUGGCAGGCGUAAGUUUUACAGUUUGUCUCUU